ACAUCAGGGUCAUCUGUGAAGUAUCUUGAGAAUGCUGAUUUCUUGGGUUCACAUAUUAUCUACUUGAUUAAUACUCUGAAGAUUGCCUGGAAAUACAACAGAUCUAACAAACUGCCCCAGCCUCUCGAAGACGCAGCAAUGCAAAUCAGACCAAAUCCAACUGAAUUAGAAAACGCUCACGUUUAAUGGAUGCAACGCUCCUGCAUGGCCUUCCAGCCCCCCAGAGAGGAGACUGGAAAGAGAGUCCAGAAAACCACAGACUUUCUACAGACAGUUGAUGCUAUCUAUUUGACACUUUAAAAAGACAGAAGAGGCUGGGCGCUGGUGCCUCAGACCUUUAAUCCCAGCACUCAGGAGGCAGAAGCAGGCGGAUCUCUGUGAGUUCGAAGCCAGCCUCAUCUACAGAGUGAGUUCCAGGACAGCCUCCAAUGCCACAGAGAAACUGUGUCUCAAAAAACAAAACAACAAGCAAACAAAACAAAACAAAAGACAGACUACAGCACCAACCAAUAUUAAAGAAUUUUGACCCUCAGAUAAGAUGUAUAAAUUAAUGGAACUAUUCACUGGGAUAAUCCAGUUUUCUGAUCUGGCUUUUCUUAACUUUUUCCCCCCAGGAAAUCCUGUCCUCCACUUUUGCAGAAACCUCUAGAAAAAAACUUUCCUUUAAGUUUAAACAAUGACAUCAUGGUCCCUGAACUUUGUUUUAAACACCAAACAAAGUACCAGGAAAUGGGUUAUUAUUUUUUUUGUGUGAUAUUGUGGGGUGAAUAAAUGGUCCCACAAGUGUUAAAUUAGUACUCUACCACAGAGAUACACACCUCCAGCCCUAGAUGGAACUUUCAUCUAGCUCAAAACCAAGAGCACAGUGGACCUAUUUCACGACUUUUACCGCUCUGAGAACAUUAUGUUCUUAUCCCAUUAAAGGGACAAGGUUCUUUUAAGUACUGAACAAACCAUAUUUUGAAUCCAAACGUUUUUUUUCUUCCAUAAUCUCUGCACUCAUCCCUUGCCUUUUUCACAACCCUGAUGAAGGGGCUUCUGUUUUCCUUCUCUGGAUGGAAUCAUGUUCUGAUUCCUCCCACAUUCUUAGCUUUAAAAAAAGAACAGGUUAAGUGGGAGUUUGCUGAUUGCUGAUUGUUUGGACAGGCUCAAGUACUGUUUUCAAAAGUACUAAAGAAACAUUUAUGAACCUCAAUCUGCAAGCCUUUGUUAAUUGUCCAUAGCUUAUCAUUGUGCAUUUUCUGACCAGACUACUAUCUUUUUUCUCUUGGCAAAUGACAGGUGAUUACAGUGCAUGAUCAUUAAUUCACAUCUAUUGGCAAUAAAUAUAGGCUGUAAAAAUUUCCAAACAAUAUUCUAUGUAGCUACUGGAGUGAGAAGACAAGACCCCUUAACUGGCAGUUGAUAAGACGAAGGCUGUGGACACAACCCUUCCACAAACUGGUUCUGAGGCUGUAAGUAAAUCAUUUUCCUGUCCAGUUCCCUUAUCUGUGAAAUCAAAGUUUGAACAGAUUAAACAUCCCUCAAAGACCUGAAGCACAGAGCAACCAAUUGAACAUCCCAGGCAAAGGCUUUUUGAAUAGGACAUCAACAGUCCAGAAGUAAUACAAAUGGGGCUGAAUUAAAUAACUUUCUGUGGUGUAAAAAGAAACAACAGAGUCCAGAGAAAACCAAGUAGGAAGUAUUUGCAAGCUAUUCAUGUAACAGGACAUUAAUAUCCAGAACAUAUAAAGAGCUAAAAACCAAGUUGCUGGGUUUGGCAGCACAGUCCUGUAACACCUGGUACUUAUGAGGCUGAAGUGGGAGGAUUCUGAGUUCAAGCCUUAUUUGGGGUGCAGAGUGAAUUCAGUGCCACCCUGGGCAGCUUACUGAUAACCUGUCUCAAAAGUAAAAAUAGAACGAGGUGUGGAGACCAAGCUUUGCAGUAAAACACUUGUGCAGCUGUCCCCCAGUGUUCUCCAUCUCUCUCUCUCUCUCUCUCUCUCUCUCUCUCUCUCUCUCUCUCU
Molecule: long non-coding RNA, 2006 nt
Organism: Mesocricetus auratus (golden hamster)
Lineage: Eukaryota; Metazoa; Chordata; Mammalia; Rodentia; Cricetidae
Exons: 3
Source: RefSeq, a predicted model, not a curated record